GUUUUUGUAGUUGAAUACAACGAUGGUUUUUCAUAUCAUAGGUCUUGGUUAAAGUCCAGGCAAGAAUU
This 68-nucleotide transfer RNA is filed under the name Mauremys mutica (yellowpond turtle). Its description in RNAcentral is "tRNA-Glu". It matches the Rfam family "tRNA". From Rfam's summary of the family: Transfer RNA (tRNA) molecules are approximately 80 nucleotides in length. Their secondary structure includes four short double-helical elements and three loops (D, anti-codon, and T loops). The record is from RNAcentral. Lineage: Eukaryota; Metazoa; Chordata; Testudines; Geoemydidae.